UUCAAGUUUCUAAGAGCAAACGGUGGAUGCCUUGGCAUCUGGAGCCGAAGAAGGACGUAGUAAUCUGCGAUAAGCCUCGGGGAGUUGAUAAACGGACUUUGAUCCGAGGAUUUCCGAAUGGGGAAACCCCGCUGGGCCCUUUG
This 143-nucleotide ribosomal RNA is filed under the name uncultured Leifsonia sp. Its description in RNAcentral is "partial 23S ribosomal RNA". It matches the Rfam family "Bacterial large subunit ribosomal RNA", at positions 1 to 144 of the family's 2925-position model. Lineage: Bacteria; Bacillati; Actinomycetota; Actinomycetes; Micrococcales; Microbacteriaceae. The record is from RNAcentral.